RNAcentral lists this ribosomal RNA (440 nucleotides) under uncultured Oomycota. RNAcentral describes it as "LSU rRNA". It matches the Rfam family "Eukaryotic large subunit ribosomal RNA", at positions 165 to 598 of the family's 3401-position model. Lineage: Eukaryota; Oomycota. The record is from RNAcentral.
AGCAUAGCGAUUUGGGAUAAGUCCCUUGGAAGAGGGCAGCAUGGAGGGUGAUACUCCCGUCUCUGCUCAGGUUGUCUGUGUGUACGAUACGCUUUCUUUGAGUCGAGUUGUUUGGGAAUACAGCUCAAAGUAGGUGGUAAAUUCCAUCUAAAGCUAAAUAUUGGUGCGAGACCGAUAGCGAACAAGUACCGUGAGGGAAAGAUGAAAAGAACUUUGAAAAGAGAGUUAAAGAGUACCUGAAACUGUUGAAAGGGAACCGUAUCGUUUCUAGUGUUUAUCCUAUGCAUAUUUCAUUGGCGGUUGCAAAAUUGCUGGUGCCCUGUGCAUGGGUGUGACGUCAGAGUCAGUUUAAAUUGCGGGAGAUGGGUAGGGAGGAGGUGCGUCACUUCGGUGAAAGUUACAGCUCUCUGCCUAGUAGCCGUGGUUGAGACUGAGGUGCC